RNAcentral lists this ribosomal RNA (657 nucleotides) under Triticum aestivum (bread wheat). RNAcentral describes it as "partial small subunit ribosomal RNA". Lineage: Eukaryota; Viridiplantae; Streptophyta; Magnoliopsida; Poales; Poaceae. The record is from RNAcentral.
AUGGGGUGUACUCUACUUCCUCUACCUACAGGGCUCAGUUUGAGGGACUCAUUUCGUCGGAUCUUGUUCACUCACAGUGGAAGGUUUGCCUCCCCCCCACAGUGCAAGUUCUUUGCCUGGCUUGUCCUUCAAAAUAGGAUUUGGACAUCGUAUCGACUGAUUUGCCGCGGCUGGCCAAACUGUGGUCUAUGCCCUCUAUGUAAGCAAUGCCAAGAGUUGGCCGCCCAUCUCCUUUUCCAAUGCCGCUACACCACCCGCAUUUUGAAAAAUAUUCUUCCUUGGCUUGGAAUGCAUCACAUCACUACGACAGCUUGGCAGACAAUGACUUCGGUGAGAGCAUGGUGGAACAACAACCUUCAGAUUUUCCUUGGAUCCCCUAAGGCGCUCGCCUCCCAAAUGAUGCUUAUCUCAUGGGAGAUAUGGACGGAGCGUAAUUUCAGAGUCUUCAAAAACACAUCCAUCCCUUACACGGUUCUAAUCAGUAAGAUCAAAGCGGCGGUGUCUCUUUGGGCGAUGGUCGGAACGAAACACAUGAGUGUUGUAAUGCCGCGAGAGUACACUAGUAGAAAACAGGGCAUACAUUUGGGCCAGGUAAGCCCAUUAGUCCCGGUUCGGUCACGAACCGGUACCCAUGGGCCGAUUGGUCCCGGUUCGUGA